CAUAAUCAAGACGACAUACAAUAGUAAACAACAUCCAUUACUUGAAAACAACAAUGGUAGGAACAAAACAAGAUAGUGACCAUGCAUCCACUUAACCCAAUUAAUACUUGCAUGUAUAAAUACACCUUUAUAAAGCAUGUGGACAUCAUCAUCCCAAUAGAAAAUUAUCUUCCUUGUAUGAGCACAACAAUAUUCAUGUUUAGAUGACGUAGGGAAUGAUAUGUGUCUCUCCAAUUUAGCUCUAUCAAUAAAGUACUCCACUGGGCUUGUCAAAGACGUCAUAAGCUCCAUAAAAUAUGUAUCAAGUUUAACACUUUUAUGAUAUAGCCAAG
RNAcentral lists this long non-coding RNA (332 nucleotides) under Capsicum annuum. RNAcentral describes it as "long non-coding RNA (CANN_LNC011054)". The record is from RNAcentral. Lineage: Eukaryota; Viridiplantae; Streptophyta; Magnoliopsida; Solanales; Solanaceae.